CCUACGGGAGGCAGCAGUGGGGAAUUUUGGACAAUGGGCGAAAGCCUGAUCCAGCAAUGCCGCGUGAGUGAAGAAGGCCUUCGGGUUGUAAAGCUCUUUUGUCAGGGAAGAAACGGUGAGAGCUAAUAUCUCUUGCUAAUGACGGUACCUGAAGAAUAAGCACCGGCUAACUACGUGCCAGCAGCCGCGGUAAUACGUAGGGUGCAAGCGUUAAUCGGAAUUACUGGGCGUAAAGCGUGCGCAGGCGGUUUUGUAAGUCUGAUGUGAAAUCCCCGGGCUCAACCUGGGAAUUGCAUUGGAGACUGCAAGGCUAGAAUCUGGCAGAGGGGGGUAGAAUUCCACGUGUAGCAGUGAAAUGCGUAGAUAUGUGGAGGAACACCGAUGGCGAAGGCAGCCCCCUGGGUCAAGAUUGACGCUCAUGCACGAAAGCGUGGGGAGCAAACAGGAUUAGAUACCCUGGUAGUCCACGCCCUAAACGAUGUCUACUAGUUGUCGGGUCUUAAUUGACUUGGUAACGCAGCUAACGCGUGAAGUAGACCGCCUGGGGAUACGGUCGCAAGNUUAAAACCUNAAAUGAAUUGACGGNNGAGACGAGCGAGGACGACGACGAGGGAGGAGG
Molecule: ribosomal RNA, 619 nt
Filed under: uncultured bacterium
Lineage: Bacteria
Description: bacterial SSU rRNA
Rfam family: Bacterial small subunit ribosomal RNA
Source: RNAcentral